This 690-nucleotide ribosomal RNA is filed under the name uncultured bacterium. RNAcentral's name for it is "bacterial SSU rRNA". It matches the Rfam family "Bacterial small subunit ribosomal RNA", at positions 67 to 748 of the family's 1533-position model. The record is from RNAcentral.
GGGCAGCAGGACUGUAGCAAUACAGUUGCUGGCGACCGGCAAACGGGUGCGGAACACGUACGCAACCUUCCUUUAAGUGAGGGAUAGCCCAGGGAAACUUGGAUUAAUACCUCGUAAUAUUUGAGAGUGGCAUCACUUUCUAAUUAUAGCUCCGGCGCUUAAAGAUGGGCGUGCGACUGAUUAGGUAGUUGGCGGGGUAACGGCCCACCAAGCCUGCGAUCAGUAACUGGUGUGAGAGCACGACCAGUCACACGGGCACUGAGACACGGGCCCGACUCCUACGGGAGGCAGCAGUAAGGAAUAUUGGUCAAUGGACGCAAGUCUGAACCAGCCAUGCCGCGUGGAGGAUGAAGGUCCUCUGGAUUGUAAACUUCUUUUAUCUGGGAAGAAACCCAUAUUUUCUAGUGUGGUUGACGGUACCAGAUGAAUAAGCACCGGCUAACUCCGUGCCAGCAGCCGCGGUAAUACGGAGGGUGCAAGCGUUAUCCGGAUUCACUGGGUUUAAAGGGUGCGUAGGCGGGUUGGUAAGUCCGUGGUGAAAUCCCCAAGCUUAACUUGGGAACUGCCGUGGAUACUAUCAAUCUUGAAUAUCGUGGAGGUAAGCGGAAUAUGUCAUGUAGCGGUGAAAUGCUUAGAUAUGACAUAGAACACCAAUUGCGUAGGCAGCUUACUACACGAUCAUUGACGCUG